GGGUGGUGGAGUCUCGCGCGGAAGCCACCGGCUUCUGUCACGGGAGCCGGGAUUGCUAAGGCGGCUGGGGAGGCGGGAAGGUAGCAGUGGUUGAAGGGGCAUUGGCUGAUUUGCGGGAAGACCGUGAGCAGCAAUGGUGAUGGCGGCGAAGAAGGGCCCAGCCCCAGGUGGCGGGGCCGGCGGGGGGAAGUCAGAGGCGGAGGCGGCCUCAGAGGUGUGGUGCCGCCGAGUGCGGGAAUUGGGCGGCUGCAGCCAGGCUGGGAAUCGCCACUGCUUCGAGUGCGCCCAGCGCGGGGUCACCUACGUGGACAUCACCGUAGGCAGCUUCGUCUGCACCACCUGCUCCGGCCUUCUGAGAGGACUGAAUCCUCCUCAUCGUGUCAAGUCCAUCUCCAUGACAACUUUCACUGAGCCCGAAGUAAUAUUCCUGCAAUCUCGUGGCAAUGAGGUUUGCAGGAAGAUAUGGCUAGGUCUGUUUGAUGCUCGGACAUCUUUAAUACCAGAUUCCAGGGAUCCUCAGAAGGUGAAGGAGUUUCUCCAGGAAAAAUAUGAGAAGAAGAGAUGGUAUGUCCCCCCAGACCAGAUCAAGGGGCCCACCUAUACCAAAGGCAGUACCUCCACCCCCGUCCAGGGCUCCCUCUCAGAAGGGAAGCCCCUUCGGACACUUCCUGGUGAUCCUGUGCCAACUCUCUCAGCUGCUGCCUCCAUCUCCAGCCAGUCUGUCAGCCAGUCUCAAGCUCGGACAUCCCAGGCCCGGAGCUCUCAGCUACCUUCGCACUCCUCUGUCAAGAAAGCCAGUACUGACCUGCUGGCUGACAUCGGUGGAGACCCCUUUGCUACUCCUCCAGCAGCACCAGCUUUUGCUGCAUUCCCAGCCUUUGGAGGCCAGACACCUUCACAUGGGGGCUUUGCCAACUUCGAUGCCUUUGGCAGUAGCCCCAGCUCUUCUGCAUUUGGAAGCAUCCCUCCAACUGGCCAAGCCCCAUUCCAGGCCCAGCCAACACCUGCAGCCAGUCGGAUGCUAACUGGAAGUUACAGCUUUGGGAGCAGCCAGGUGACUCCAUUUGGUGCCACUCCCCUUGUACCUGCCAGUCAGCCAAACAGCCGUGCAGAUAUGGGCAGCUACCUGGGACCAGGGGUUUCAGCUGGAGGUAUUCCUGGCAGCAUCUUCGGGAUGACCAGCCAGGUCCCCACGCUCCAGUCUGCUAUGACUGGUGGCAGCAGCAGCACAGGGCUUGCCUUUGGAGCCUUCACCAACCCAUUUGCAGCCUCUGCUGCCCAGCCCCAGCUGCCUUCCACCAACCCAUUCCAGCCCAAUGGCUUGGCCCCAGGGCCUGGCUUUGGGAUGAGCAGUGCUGGGCCUGGCUUUCCCCAGACAGUACAACCCUCUGGGGCAGCACCUUUUGCCAGCACCUUUCCACCACCGAUAUUUUCACCACAAAGCUCGCUGACUCCACAGCAGAAUGUUGUCCCUCUUGCCUCCCAGGCUCUUCCUUUGGGGACUUAGGAUCGGCCAAGCUGGGGCAGAGGCCACUGAGCCAGCCAGCUGGGAUCUCCACCAACCCUUUCAUGACUGGAUCCUCAUCAAGCCCAUUUGCCUCCAAACCUCCAACCACCAACCCAUUCUUGUAGCACUGUGUCCUCUGGGGCCUCUUCCCUGUGCUGUGGGGCCCCUCUGCCCCAGAGCUUUGGUGACCACUUGCCUGUGGGUCUGAGACCAGCACAGGCCCUGUUCUUCAGGAUCAGGGUCUUAGGGAUGGUGGAGGUGCUGAUGCUUUGCUUGGGGCUUACAGAUGAACUGACAGCCCUUCAGUCAGAUGCCUCAAAGGCUCCCUUCCUCCCUCCUUCUGCCCCCACCAGGAGGGAGCCCCAGCAGAAGUGAUGGUAGGGAUGCGUGGAGGAACCAUGGCAUUUUUUUCAGUUAAUAAGCUCUCUUCCCUUCAUCCCCAGCCCCAUGGGCAGAGGAAGCCAUGAUACAGACCGACUGGCCUUCUCCAUGGGAACAGUUUUUCCCCCAUGCCCAGCUCCCUAACACUGUGCUCCAUCCAUGUGGACAGAGUACAGUGGGGAAAGUAUGGUAAAGAUGAAGCAUGGUGUUGACAGGGACAGUGACCAGAUGACUCUGGGACCAAGACCACACUUUCCUCUACCACCUGCCAUUGUUUUGCUUCCCCAGUACUCCUUCUGUCCUGGCACUCAGGAUGAAUAGUUUUACCCAUGUACACACAGGCCCAGCUCCUGUCAAGCACUUUAGUUAGCCAUUGGUGUCAUGUUUGGAUACCAGUGUUUUAUACUUACACAUAGAGAGGAUUUUCUAAUAUAGCCUAAUAUACAUAUAUAUAUACACACACACACACACACACGUAACACACAUAUAUAUACACACAUAUCCAGCCAUUCUUCUCCCAGACGUCUCCCAUCUGUGCCUCAACCAUCAAAGCCAGAGCUCCA
Otolemur garnettii (small-eared galago) is the source of this 2451-nucleotide RNA transcript. It is a transcript of the gene named ArfGAP with FG repeats 2, with no coding region annotated. NCBI's taxonomy places the organism in Eukaryota, Metazoa, Chordata, Mammalia, Primates, Galagidae. The record is from RefSeq and is a predicted model, not a curated record. The transcript has 13 exons.